AGUGAACGCUGGCGGUAGGCCUAACACAUGCAAGUCGAACGGCAGCACAGUAAGAGCUUGCUCUUACGGGUGGCGAGUGGCGGACGGGUGAGGAAUACAUCGGAAUCUACUUUUUCGUGGGGGAUAACGUAGGGAAACUUACGCUAAUACCGCAUACGACCUACGGGUGAAAGCAGGGGAUCUUCGGACCUUGCGCGAUUGAAUGAGCCGAUGUCGGAUUAGCUAGUUGGCGGGGUAAAGGCCCACCAAGGCGACGAUCCGUAGCUGGUCUGAGAGGAUGAUCAGCCACACUGGAACUGAGACACGGUCCAGACUCCUACGGGAGGGAGCAGUGGGGAAUAUUGGACAAUGGGCGCAAGCCUGAUCCAUCCAUACCGCGUGGGUGAAGAAGGCCUUCGGGUUGUAAAGCCCUUUUGUUGGGAAAGAAAAGCAGCAGGUUAAUACCCCGCUGUUCUGACGGUACCCAAAGAAUAAGCACCGGCUAACUUCGUG
RNAcentral lists this ribosomal RNA (492 nucleotides) under uncultured bacterium. Its description in RNAcentral is "partial 16S ribosomal RNA". It matches the Rfam family "Bacterial small subunit ribosomal RNA", at positions 29 to 507 of the family's 1533-position model. The record is from RNAcentral.